Long non-coding RNA from Oncorhynchus keta (chum salmon), 381 nucleotides. RefSeq lists it as uncharacterized. Lineage: Eukaryota; Metazoa; Chordata; Actinopteri; Salmoniformes; Salmonidae. The record is from RefSeq and is a predicted model, not a curated record. The transcript has 4 exons.
ACUCCAAGUACACGCACAUGGGCAGGGCAAGGUACUCCAAGUACACGCACAUGGGCAGGGCAAGGUACUCCAAGUACACGCACAUGGGCAGGGCAAGGUACUCCAAGUACACGCACAUGGGCAGGGCAAGGUACUCCAAGUACACGUACAUGGGCAGGGCAAGGUACUCCAAGUACACGUACAUGGGCAGGGCAAGGUACUCCAAGUACACGUACAUGGGCAGGGCAAGGUACUCCAAGUACACGUACAUGGGCAGGGCAAGGUACUCCAAGUACACGUACAUGGGCAGGGCAAGGUACUCCAAGUACACGUACAUGGGCAGGGCAAGGUACUCCAAGUACACGUACAUGGGCAGGGCAAGGUACUCCAAGUACACGCACA